AAACCGAUAGCGAACAAGUACCGUGAGGGAAAGUUGAAAAGUACUCUGAAUAGAGAGUUAAAUAGUACGUGAAACCGCUUAGGGGUUAAGCCCGAUGAACCCGAAUAUCUGAUGUGAGAAAUUCAAUACGAUUCAAAUUCAGUUUUUAUAUUGGAUUUGUAUAGUAUGCACUUUUCUCAUAGUAAGACAUUGUAAUCCAUUGAUAUUAUAUCUCAUAUGAGAUGAUUUAACAUACGGACAAAAUGUUUAUGAUUAUUCUAUCAGUGAUGUGUUUACAUAUCAUAUGAAUAAAAUCGUUUUGUUUCCUGUUUAAAUAGUCGAUGGAUUUUUCAUUGAAAUCAUGCUUGCAAUUUAUUUUGCGUUUCGUAUCAUUAAUUUUUAAUUGGUGACAGCAGAAAUGGCAUGUAUUCGAUUAACAAUGCGAUAGAUUUGGGAUACUUUCAGGACCCGUCUUGA
Molecule: ribosomal RNA, 456 nt
Filed under: Rhopalomyia sp. Rhosp128
Lineage: Eukaryota; Metazoa; Arthropoda; Insecta; Diptera; Cecidomyiidae
Description: partial large subunit ribosomal RNA
Rfam family: Eukaryotic large subunit ribosomal RNA
Source: RNAcentral